RNAcentral lists this ribosomal RNA (479 nucleotides) under uncultured Gram-positive bacterium. RNAcentral's name for it is "bacterial SSU rRNA". It matches the Rfam family "Bacterial small subunit ribosomal RNA", at positions 22 to 501 of the family's 1533-position model. The record is from RNAcentral.
GCUCAGGAUGAACGCUGGCGGCGUGCUUAACACAUGCAAGUCGAGCGAACAAAGCGAUGUGAAGCCUUCGGGUGGAUCAUCGCGGCGUGAGCGGCGGACGGGUGAGUAACACGUGGGUAACCUGCCCUGUACACUGGGAUAACGCACCGAAAGGUGUGCUAAUACCGGAUAAAGUGAACCUUUCGCAUGGAAGGAUCAUCAAAGCUCCGGCGGUACAGGAUGGACCCGCGUCCCAUUAGCUAGUUGGUGAGGUAACGGCUCACCAAGGCGACGAUGGGUAGCCGACCUGAGAGGGUGAUCGGCCACACUGGAACUGAGACACGGUCCAGACUCCUACGGGAGGCAGCAGUGGGGAAUAUUGCACAAUGGGCGAAAGCCUGAUGCAGCAACGCCGCGUGAGCGAUGAAGGCCUUCGGGUCGUAAAGCUCUGUCCUAAGGGAAGAUAAUGACGGUACCUUAGGAGGAAGCCCCGAGCGAAC